This 139-nucleotide ribosomal RNA is filed under the name uncultured eukaryote. RNAcentral's name for it is "partial 18S ribosomal RNA". It matches the Rfam family "Eukaryotic small subunit ribosomal RNA", at positions 1299 to 1458 of the family's 1831-position model. The record is from RNAcentral.
UGGUGGAGUGAUUGUCUGGUUAAUUCCGUUAACGAACGAGACCUUAACCUGCUAAGUAGUUACGCAUAACUUCGGUUAUGCGGGCAACUUCUUAGAGGGACUUUGUAUGUCUAAUGCAAGGAAGUUUGAGGCAAUAACA